AGCGAACGCUGGCGGCAGGCCUAACACAUGCAAGUCGAACGAACCUUUCGGGGUUAGUGGCGGACGGGUGAGUAACACGUGGGAACGUGCCUUUAGGUUCGGAAUAACUCAGGGAAACUUGUGCUAAUACCGAAUGUGCCCUUCGGGGGAAAGAUUUAUCGCCUUUAGAGCGGCCCGCGUCUGAUUAGCUAGUUGGUUGAGGUAAUGGCUCACCAAGGCGACGAUCAGUAGCUGGUCUGAGAGGAUGAUCAGCCACAUUGGGACUGAGACACGGCCCAAACUCCUACGGGAGGCAGCAGUGGGGAAUCUUGCGCAAUGGGCGAAAGCCUGACGCAGCCAUGCCGCGUGAAUGAUGAAGGUCUUAGGAUUGUAAAAUUCUUUCACCGGGGACGAUAAUGACGGUACCCGGAGAAGAAGCCUCGGCUAACUUCGUG
RNAcentral lists this ribosomal RNA (434 nucleotides) under uncultured bacterium. RNAcentral's name for it is "partial 16S ribosomal RNA". It matches the Rfam family "Bacterial small subunit ribosomal RNA", at positions 29 to 507 of the family's 1533-position model. The record is from RNAcentral.